GCACCGGUGGUCUAGUGGGAGCGAAGUAUCCUGCCACGGUACAGACCCGGGAUUGAUCCCCGGCCGGUGCA
Molecule: transfer RNA, 71 nt
Filed under: Physcomitrium patens
Lineage: Eukaryota; Viridiplantae; Streptophyta; Bryopsida; Funariales; Funariaceae
Description: Physcomitrella patens tRNA
Rfam family: tRNA
About the family: Transfer RNA (tRNA) molecules are approximately 80 nucleotides in length. Their secondary structure includes four short double-helical elements and three loops (D, anti-codon, and T loops).
Source: Rfam by way of RNAcentral